This 1019-nucleotide long non-coding RNA is filed under the name Androctonus crassicauda. Lineage: Eukaryota; Metazoa; Arthropoda; Arachnida; Scorpiones; Buthidae. The record is from RNAcentral.
ACAAUUUUAUUAUUAUCUGAUACAAAGCAUUACAGAUACAAUAAUAUUAAAAAAUUUGAUUGUCUGAUGUGAGGUCCAGAAGACCCUCAAACAACACUUUCUCAACUUAACUUUUGAUAACUAUCAUUUUUGUAUUUGUUUGAGGUCUAAACAAGUUGUUUAACUUCAAAAUUCGUUUCUUUCAAAACUUAAAAGAAUAAUUAUUUUUUGCCACAUAUGGCAAUUGUAAAAGGAAAUGGAGUCAGAAAAAUGACCAAAAAAUGUAAGAAUACCUGCAGACAGAGAACAGAUUUUUGGAAAAGAGGUUCCUUGUCUACAGUUGAUAGUGAUUCACAAUUAUCCACUGAGGGAAGUAUAAAAGUCUUCAGUUUUUUGUUGAAGAGGUUCCCAGUCAAAUGUCUAAUGCUCUUGAUCAUUGCUGGAUUCCUGUCACAUCAUCCUUGCUCAGAGGAACCAAAGUCUCCAAUAUAUUCCAAAGGAACAGGAUUAAACAUAAAUUGAAAAUAUAAAAAAUUAUUUGGAGGUAAUAAAGGAAGAAAGAAAUAUAGAAUUCUUGCACAAAGGGCAGAACAGGAACUGUUACAUCAAACCACCAUCAAAAUGUUAAUCUUACCUAGUAGUAGUAGUAGUAGAGAGGGAAGGGCCUAUGCAGCCCAAGCACCACGACCACCACAGGUCUAUUGUGCACCCCCAACCAAAUCAUCCCAGAAGAAGACCUCUCCUCAAGACAAAGGACAGAAUUCUCCUUAAUGGGACAGUAGCAAGAUAAUCUUACCUAUAUACUUCAUCUAUGUCCUUUUAUCUCUAUAAGUGACAAGGAAGUCACCUAUAGUGAUAAAAGGACCAAACACCAAAUGCAUAUUCAUUCGAAAUCUAUUGCUUUCAUCUCACAAAUAUCUAUUGAAAGAUAUUCUGAUACAAGAAGACAUUAUUCUGAUCCUUGACUCCAUUUCCAGAUAAUUAAUGACCUCGACUACGUUCUGUUUUCCUUUCAAUUCAUUUUAAUCAUUCAUUCAUAU